Molecule: ribosomal RNA, 529 nt
Filed under: Salmonella enterica
Lineage: Bacteria; Pseudomonadati; Pseudomonadota; Gammaproteobacteria; Enterobacterales; Enterobacteriaceae
Description: partial 23S ribosomal RNA
Rfam family: Bacterial large subunit ribosomal RNA
Source: RNAcentral
UGUUUCGGCUAGGGGGCCAUCCCGGCUUACCAACCCGAUGCAAACUGCGAAUACCGGAGAAUGUUAUCACGGGAGACACACGGCGGGUGCUAACGUCCGUCGUGAAGAGGGAAACAACCCAGACCGCCAGCUAAGGUCCCAAAGUCAUGGUUAAGUGGGAAACGAUGUGGGAAGGCCCAGACAGCCAGGAUGUUGGCUUAGAAGCAGCCAUCAUUUAAAGAAAGCGUAAUAGCUCACUGGUCGAGUCGGCCUGCGCGGAAGAUGUAACGGGGCUAAACCAUGCACCGAAGCUGCGGCAGCGACGCUGAUGCGUUGUUGGGUAGGGGAGCGUUCUGUAAGCCUGUGAAGGUGGCCUGUGAGGGUUGCUGGAGGUAUCAGAAGUGCGAAUGCUGACAUAAGUAACGAUAAAGCGGGUGAAAAGCCCGCUCGCCGGAAGACCAAGGGUUCCUGUCCAACGUUAAUCGGGGCAGGGUGAGUCGACCCCUAAGGCGAGGCCGAAAGGCGUAGUCGAUGGGAAACGGGUUAAUAU